GAAGAAACAUCUCUUUUGGGCAUUCCACACUCAUGAAUGAAGAAGUAUUAAAUGCUGGUGCAUGUACGGCUAGAUGCAAUGUUUCUACAAAUUCAUGCAUGUGUCGAAUGCAUGUAUGGACAUUAAAGGCUAGUCCAUGAAUGGAUCAAAUGCAUGGGAUGAUAGAAUGCAUGAAUGGCUUAAGUGCAUGUAUGGUGGCUAUCUCUUAACUUUCCAAGGCACUUAUUCGGCCAAGAAGUAGCUGCUAACUAAUUCUAUGUUGACCAUAGAGCUCCUUGAGCAUGUUCACACUUUGAAUUGACCUAUAGGCUACUACACAUGCAUGGAUGGGUUCAAGAACGUCCAAGGGAAGGAAUUAACUCAAUAAUUCAACACAUUGAUUGAAUUAAGUGCAUGCACAAAGGGGAGAACGAAUUUACUAGGUUCAUGCUACCAUUUAUGAACUUACAUGCCAUUAAAGUGUUUAAUUAUGAAGAUACAUGGUCCAUACAAGUGCAUGAACGUCCCAAGG
This 511-nucleotide long non-coding RNA is filed under the name Gossypium barbadense (sea-island cotton). RNAcentral describes it as "long non-coding RNA (GBAR_LNC006461)". Lineage: Eukaryota; Viridiplantae; Streptophyta; Magnoliopsida; Malvales; Malvaceae. The record is from RNAcentral.